UCAGGGGCACCACUGGGACUCA
Molecule: microRNA, 22 nt
Filed under: Hyalella azteca
Lineage: Eukaryota; Metazoa; Arthropoda; Malacostraca; Amphipoda; Hyalellidae
Description: miR-5100
Source: RNAcentral